Small nuclear RNA from Dromiciops gliroides (monito del monte), 104 nucleotides. The record is from RefSeq and is a predicted model, not a curated record. NCBI's taxonomy places the organism in Eukaryota, Metazoa, Chordata, Mammalia, Microbiotheria, Microbiotheriidae.
GUGCUCACUUCGGCAACACAUAUACUAAAACUGGAAUGAUGCAGAGAUUAUCAUGGCCCCUGUGCAAAGAUGACACGCAAAUUCGUGAAGGUAUGGCUUGGAUU